AUACGUAGGGGGCUAGCGUUAUCCGGAAUUACUGGGCGUAAAGGGUGCGUAGGCGGCCUUGUAAGUCAGAUGUGAAAGAUCAUGGCUUAACUGUGGUAAGCAUUUGAAACUGCAGGGCUUGAGUACAGGAGAGGAGAGUGGAAUUCCUAGUGUAGCGGUGAAAUGCGUAGAUAUUAGGAGGAAUACCAGUGGCGAAGGCGACUCUCUGGACUGAUACUGACGCUGAGGCACGAAAGCGUGGGGAGCAAACAGGAUUAGAUACCCUGGUAGUCCACGCUAUAAACGAUGAGUGCUAGGUGUCGGGGGUCAAACCUCGGUGCCGCAGUUAACACAUUAAGCACUCCGCCUGGGGAGUACGGCCGCAAGGCUGAAACUCAAAGGAAUUGACGGGG
RNAcentral lists this ribosomal RNA (392 nucleotides) under uncultured bacterium. RNAcentral describes it as "partial 16S ribosomal RNA". It matches the Rfam family "Bacterial small subunit ribosomal RNA", at positions 523 to 918 of the family's 1533-position model. The record is from RNAcentral.